CUACGGGCUGCUGCAGUGAGGAAUUUUGCGCAAUGGGGGAAACCCUGACGCAGCAACGCCGCGUGAGUGAUGAAGGCCUUCGGGUCGUAAAGCUCUGUCAAGUGGGAAGAACCCACCCUGUGCUAAUAUCACAGGGUGCUGACGGUACCACUGAAGGAAGCACCGGCUAACUCCGUGCCAGCAGCCGCGGUAAUACGGAGGGUGCAAGCGUUAUUCGGAAUUACUGGGCGUAAAGGGCGCGUAGGCGGCCUUUUAAGUCAGAUGUGAAAUCCCGGGGCUCAACCCCGGAAGUGCAUCUGAAACUAAGAGGCUUGAGUAUGGGAGAGGGAAGUGGAAUUCCUGGUGUAGAGGUGAAAUUCGUAGAUAUCAGGAGGAACACCGGUGGCGAAGGCGACUUCCUGGACCAAUACUGACGCUGAGGCGCGAAGGCGUGGGGAGCAAACAGGAUUAGAUACCCCCGUAGUC
This 465-nucleotide ribosomal RNA is filed under the name uncultured bacterium. Its description in RNAcentral is "partial 16S ribosomal RNA". It matches the Rfam family "Bacterial small subunit ribosomal RNA", at positions 339 to 795 of the family's 1533-position model. The record is from RNAcentral.